UCUAGACUAAUUCUGAUUCGAAUUGAGUAAGCCAAUUGAUUUUUGUGUGUAGCGCGUGGGCCUAUAUCUUCUGAACGAUUAUAGUACGGCCACUUAUCUAAUAUAAAAUCAAUGAGUAGAUCUAACCUCCCCUUCCCCAUAACAUAGUCGGAAGGGAUAGUGUGUCCAUAUAUAUAUAUAAGAGAGAGCAUGGAACCUUACCCAACAUUUAGUUUAGACGCGGCUCAAAUUAUGUUAAGGAGUGAAAUGCUUUCUACUACGAAAUUUUCUGUUGCCAAAGCUCAAACUAGAAUUUCUAAUUAAAAGUAGAGAAAUUCCUACUAUCCCAUCAAAUCCUGUGGUACGAUGAUGUUUGUGCACUACUAAGGUAAAAUAUUUGAGCGAGAAUUUCCACUUUUGUCCUUGAUAAAUAUUUUUUUUUACGUAUACAAAGUUUUUUUAGUUUUAUGUCAAAUUUUCUAAGAAAUAUUUAUUUUUAUCCGUAAGAGAUCUUAAUUUAUAGUCAUUUUUUUCUAUUUAAAUUGUAAAAUGUUAUGUUGAACCAUUUUUUUUAAUUCUAAGAGCUCUAGACUAUAACAUCAUAUUGCCUUUUUGUUCAUCUUCUAAUUAAUAUUUGUGUAUUUGUCUUUGACAAGAUUUAAAGGAAAUUGGCUCACACAAUUAAACGAAAGAGCUGCUUACCAAAACUUGCACCUGUGGUAGCUGGAAUAUCAGUGACCAACCUGUCGAGGGUUCAUUAGCAAAAAUCAGAUAAUUAGUGAUUAUACGUACAUAUGGGCCAUUUGAAUUAACAAGAAAAAAAAACACGAAAUAUAUGGGAAUUUCUUUUCUUCACAGAAGAGUUUAAUAAUUUGUAAAAUUGUAGUAGAAAUAUUUAAUUACUUUCAGUUCAUAUCAAAGCUCAAAUCAAAGGAGUUCACUCUAAAAUCUUCUGCAGGGACAGAAUAAAAUCAGACGAUCUUUUUAGUAGUGAAGAUGACAAAAUGGAAAUGAUUAAUCAAUGGCGUUAACCACUGGAUACUUUUGUCAACCUCAGAGAAAGAAAUCGACUGGUCUGUACCUCCUUGGGAAAGC
This 1074-nucleotide long non-coding RNA is filed under the name Nicotiana tabacum (common tobacco). RNAcentral's name for it is "long non-coding RNA (NTAB_LNC009375)". The record is from RNAcentral. Lineage: Eukaryota; Viridiplantae; Streptophyta; Magnoliopsida; Solanales; Solanaceae.